ACAGAAGUCCACUCAUUCUUGGCAGGAUGGCUUCUCAUCGUCUGCUCCUCCUCUGCCUUGCUGGACUGGUAUUUGUGUCUGAGGCUGGCCCUACGGGCGCUGGUGAAUCCAAGUGUCCUCUGAUGGUCAAAGUUCUAGACGCUGUCCGAGGCAGUCCUGCCGUCAAUGUGGCUGUGAAUGUGUUCAAAAAGGCUGCUGAUGAGACCUGGGAGCCAUUUGCCUCUGGGAAAACCAGUGAGUCUGGAGAGCUGCAUGGGCUCACAACUGAGGAGGAAUUUGUAGAAGGGAUAUACAAAGUGGAAAUAGACACCAAAUCUUACUGGAAGGCACUUGGCAUCUCCCCAUUCCAUGAGCAUGCAGAGGUGAGUAUACAGACCUCUGAGGGUUGUUUUGGUUUUGGUUUUUGCUUUUGGCAUCCCAGGAAAUGCACAGUUUUACUUAGUGUACCACAGAAAUGUCCUAAGGAAGGUGAUGAAUGACCAAAGGUUCCCUUUCCUAUUAUACAAGAAAAAAUUCACAACUCUGAGAAGCAAAUUUCUUUUUGACUUUGAUGAAAAUCCACUUAGUAACAUGACUUGAACUUACAUGACACUAUUCAUAGUCUAUUCAUUCCACUUUAUAUGAAUAUUGAUGUAUUUGCUGUUGAAAUAAUAGUUUAUGAGGCAGCCCUCCAGACCCCACGUAGAGUGUAACAAGAGAUGCACCAUUUUAUUUCUCGAAAACCCACAACAUUCUUCAUUCCAAAACACAUCUGGCUCCUCGGAGGUUUGGACAAGUGAUUCUUGGCAACACACACCUAUAGAGACAAUAAAAUCAAAGUAAUAAUGGCAACACAAUAGAUAACAUUUACCAAGCAUACACCAUGUGGCAGACACAAUUUUAAGUGUUUUCCAUAUUUAACCUACUUAAUCCUCAGGAAUAAGCCACUGAGGUCAGUCCUAUUAUUAUCC
This 950-nucleotide small RNA is filed under the name Pongo abelii (Sumatran orangutan). Its description in RNAcentral is "retained intron". Lineage: Eukaryota; Metazoa; Chordata; Mammalia; Primates; Hominidae. The record is from RNAcentral.